UAACGGCGAGUGAAGCGGCAACAGCUCAAAUUUGAAAUCUGGCCUCUUUGGGGUCCGAGUUGUAAUUUGUAGAGGAUGUUUCGGGCACCGCUCCGGUUUAAAUUUCUUGGAACAGAAUGUCAAAGAGGGUGAGAACCCCGUCUUGGACCGGCAGUAGGGCCCAUGUGAAACUCCUUCGACGAGUCGAGUUGUUUGGGAAUGCAGCUCAAAAUGGGUGGUAAAUUUCAUCUAAAGCUAAAUAUUGGCCAGAGACCGAUAGCGCACAAGUAGAGUGAUCGAAAGAUGAAAAGCACUUUGAAAAGAGAGUUAAACAGUACGUGAAAUUGUUGAAAGGGAAGCGCUUGCAACCAGACUUGCGCGCGGCGGUUCCCCCUUCCUUUUGGUUGGGUUAUUCCGCCGUGUCCAGGCCAACAUCGGUUCUGGGGGUCGGUUAAAGGCCUGGGGAAUGUAUCUACCCUUCGGGCGUAGACUUAUAGCCCCGGGUGUCAUGCGACCUCCCGGGACCGAGGAACGCGCUUCGGCUCGGAUGUUGGCGUAAUGGUUGUCAGCGACCCGUCUUGAAACACGGACCAAGGAGUCUAACAUCUAUGCGAGUGUUUGGGUGUCAAACCCGGAACGCGGAAUGAAAGUGAACGGAGGUAGGAAGCUUCGGCUGCACUAUCGACCGAUCCUGAUGUCUUCGGAUGGAUUUGAGUAAGAGCAUAGCUGUUGGGACCCGAAAGAUGGUGAACUAUGCCUGAAUAGGGUGAAGCCAGAGGAAACUCUGGUGGAGGCUCGCAGCGGUUCUGACGUGCAAAUCGAUCGUCAAUUUGGGUAUAGGGGCGAAAGACUAAUCGAACCAU
RNAcentral lists this ribosomal RNA (842 nucleotides) under Exophiala dermatitidis. RNAcentral's name for it is "LSU rRNA". It matches the Rfam family "Eukaryotic large subunit ribosomal RNA", at positions 84 to 943 of the family's 3401-position model. Lineage: Eukaryota; Fungi; Ascomycota; Eurotiomycetes; Chaetothyriales; Herpotrichiellaceae. The record is from RNAcentral.